Bombina bombina (fire-bellied toad) is the source of this 238-nucleotide long non-coding RNA. RefSeq lists it as uncharacterized. The record is from RefSeq and is a predicted model, not a curated record. The transcript is spliced from 3 exons. NCBI's taxonomy places the organism in Eukaryota, Metazoa, Chordata, Amphibia, Anura, Bombinatoridae.
GUUCUUCAAGCCUUGGAUGCCACACUACAGACUGUUUUGUGUUCUUCUGUUCCUGAUGCCCUCCUGUUCUGGGUGUGUGUUCUGCAGAGGUCUUGGUUUCAAUUUAGAGAAGAGAUUUGAAAUGCUGUGUGAGAAUUAUACCCAAAAAAUGAACGUUCAGAACUGUAGCCGUCACCAAGGACCUUUCCAAUUUGACCCUUAUGGGCUUGAAGAGAACUCACUUCUUUUCAUCACAGAG